GGAUGCGACCAUUCCAGCACUAACGCACCGGA
Molecule: ribosomal RNA, 32 nt
Filed under: Solanum mammosum
Lineage: Eukaryota; Viridiplantae; Streptophyta; Magnoliopsida; Solanales; Solanaceae
Source: RNAcentral